AGUCAGCCUGCUAUUGAUUGUGUACAGUCCCAAAAGCUGUUCUCAGAUUUAAUUUUACCUCAAAGUCAGACUCACUGCAUUCUCUCCUAUUACCUUCCUCUCCAGACAGCCACAUACAGACAAACAACGCCCAGUACAAGAAGGGCUAUUGCUGCAAAAAAAAAACAACUAGUUUUAUUUAUUUUGUGCUACCAUGGUAACGAAUAGCCAGAAUGCCU
This is a non-coding RNA of Pelobates cultripes (western spadefoot toad), 218 nucleotides long. NCBI's taxonomy places the organism in Eukaryota, Metazoa, Chordata, Amphibia, Anura, Pelobatidae. The record is from the annotation of a GenBank genome assembly.